Molecule: ribosomal RNA, 424 nt
Filed under: uncultured bacterium
Lineage: Bacteria
Description: partial 16S ribosomal RNA
Rfam family: Bacterial small subunit ribosomal RNA
Source: RNAcentral
UGGGGAAUUUUGGACAAUGGGCGAAAGCCUGAUCCAGCAAUGCCGCGUGUGUGAAGAAGGCCUUCGGUUGUAAAGCACUUUUGUCCGGAAAGAAAUCCUUGGCUCUAAUACAGUCGGGGGAUGACGUACCGGAAGAAUAAGCACCGGCUAACUACGUGCCAGCAGCCGCGGUAAUACGUAGGGUGCAAGCGUUAAUCGGAAUUACUGGGCGUAAAGCGUGCGCAGGCGGUUUGCUAAGACCGAUGUGAAAUCCCCGGGCUCAACCUGGGAACUGCAUUGGUGACUGGCAGGCUAGAGUAUGGCAGAGGGGGGUAGAAUUCCACGUGUAGCAGUGAAAUGCGUAGAGAUGUGGAGGAAUACCGAUGGCGAAGGCAGCCCCCUGGGCCAAUACUGACGCUCAUGCACGAAAGCGUGGGGAGCAAAA